UUCCGGUUGAUCCUGCCAGAGGUCACUGCUAUCAGUAUUCGAUUAAGCCAUGCGAGUCAAAUGUUUUUCGUAAACAUGGCGUACUGCUCAGUAACACGUGGAUAAUCUGCCCUAAGGUCUGGCAUAACUCCGGGAAACUGGUGAUAAUUCCAGAUAUGCCAUAGAAACUGGAAUGUUCUGUGGUCAAAAGCUCCGGCGCCUUAGGAUGAAUCUGCGGCCUAUCAGGUUGUAGUGGGUGUAGUGUACCUACUAGCCGACGACGGGUACGGGUUGUGAGAGCAAGAGCCCGGAGAUGGAUUCUGAGACAUGAAUCCAGGCCCUACGGGGCGCAGCAGGCGCGAAAACUUUACAAUGCGGGAAACCACGAUAAGGGGAUACUGAGUGCCAGCAUCUUAUGUUGGCUGUCCGCAUGUAUAAAUAGCAUGUGUUAGCAAGGGCCGGGCAAGACCGGUGCCAGCCGCCGCGGUAACACCGGCGGCCCGAGUGGUGGCCACUAUUAUUGGGUCUAAAGGGUCCGUAGCCGGUUCGAUCAGUCUUCCGGGAAAUCUGACAGCUCAACUGUUAGGCUUCCGGGGGAUACUGUCGGACUUGGGACCGGGAGAGGUAAGAGGUACUACAGGGGUAGGAGUGAAAUCUUGUAAUCCUUGUGGGACCACCAGUGGCGAAGGCGUCUUACCAGAACGGGUCCGACGGUGAGGGACGAAAGCUGGGGGCACGAACCGGAUUAGAUACCCGGGUAGUCCCAGCCGUAAACGAUGCUCGCUAGGUGUCUGGGACGGUGCGACCGUUUCAGGUGCCGCAGGGAAGCCGUGAAGCGAGCCACCUGGGAAGUACGGCCGCAAGGCUGAAACUUAAAGGAAUUGGCGGGGGAGCACUACAACGGGUGGAGCCUGCGGUUUAAUUGGAGUCAACGCCGGA
RNAcentral lists this ribosomal RNA (918 nucleotides) under uncultured archaeon. RNAcentral describes it as "bacterial SSU rRNA". It matches the Rfam family "Archaeal small subunit ribosomal RNA", at positions 1 to 922 of the family's 1478-position model. The record is from RNAcentral.